This 624-nucleotide long non-coding RNA is filed under the name Marmota monax (woodchuck). Lineage: Eukaryota; Metazoa; Chordata; Mammalia; Rodentia; Sciuridae. The record is from RNAcentral.
CAAAAUUAAGCUAACACAGCAAAAGGACCCAGCAGUCCAGGAACCUACCCUCCUAAAAUGGUCAACCAAAGGCAGAGCGAAUGUUUAAAGGGAGGGAAAGUGUUAAUUACUCCUGUUUUACCCAAAGCUUUUAUUCACAUAUUGCUCAGCACCUCGCCAGGGCCUGGAGCUGUCGACGUCUAUUCAUGAUAUGCUGCUUGUUACCUAGAGUUUACAGCAUGACUGACCUAAUAGAAAUACAAGUGUCCUAUGGAUCAUGUCUCCAACAGAGGAGAAUCAAAAGGGAAUCAAAAAGAUGCUGGCCAUUGAGUUCGAGAAAUCCAGCUGCCUUCUCCAGCCUCUGGACACAAGGCUUCAUUGUGUGAGUACAGAAAAUUGAACUGAAGCUUUCCCGCAAGCAUAUCUGAACUUGGACCUCCAGUGCACAGACUAGCAGCCAGCUCCCAGCCCAGGCACCCCCUCCUCUCCUCUCCAUCUUUGCAAGAGAAUUUAGUUCCAUUUAAGUCCAGGAGACAUGGCAAAAACAACACUCCAAACACCAUUCCAUUUAUGGCCAUGGGAUCCUCCAAACCAGACAUAGCCCUGCAGCUCCCAAGCCCUUUAGAUUCUCGGUGCCUCACACAC